Molecule: ribosomal RNA, 173 nt
Filed under: Paenibacillus sp. UNC496MF
Lineage: Bacteria; Bacillati; Bacillota; Bacilli; Caryophanales; Paenibacillaceae
Description: 16S rRNA. Bacterial SSU
Rfam family: Bacterial small subunit ribosomal RNA
Source: RNAcentral
CUGGCUCAGGACGAACGCUGGCGGCGUGCCUAAUACAUGCAAGUCGAGCGGACUUUCCCUUCGGGGAAGGUUAGCGGCGGACGGGUGAGUAACACGUAGGCAACCUGCCUGCAAGACCGGGAUAACAUUCGGAAACGAAUGCUAAUACCGGAUACGCAGUUUCCUCGCAUGGG